RNAcentral lists this ribosomal RNA (497 nucleotides) under uncultured bacterium. RNAcentral's name for it is "partial 16S ribosomal RNA". It matches the Rfam family "Bacterial small subunit ribosomal RNA", at positions 28 to 507 of the family's 1533-position model. The record is from RNAcentral.
GAUGAACGCUGGCGGCAUGCCUAAUACAUGCAAGUCGAGCGAACAGACGAGGAGCUUGCUCCUCUGACGUUAGCGGCGGACGGGUGAGUAACACGUGGAUAACCUACCUAUAAGACUGGGAUAACUUCGGGAAACCGGAGCUAAUACCGGAUAAUAUAUUGAACCGCAUGGUUCAAUAGUGAAAGACGGUUUUGCUGUCACUUAUAGAUGGAUCCGCGCCGCAUUAGCUAGUUGGUAAGGUAACGGCUUACCAAGGCGACGAUGCGUAGCCGACCUGAGAGGGUGAUCGGCCACACUGGAACUGAGACACGGUCCAGACUCCUACGGGAGGCAGCAGUAGGGAAUCUUCCGCAAUGGGCGAAAGCUUGACGGAGCAACGCCGCGUGAGUGAUGAAGGUCUUCGGAUCGUAAAACUCUGUUAUUAGGGAAGAACAAAUGUGUAAGUAACUAUGCACGUCUUGACGGUACCUAAUCAGAAAGCCACGGCUAACUACGUG